Non-coding RNA from Nicotiana attenuata, 71 nucleotides. The record is from Rfam. Lineage: Eukaryota; Viridiplantae; Streptophyta; Magnoliopsida; Solanales; Solanaceae.
GCACCAAUGGUCUAGUGGUAGAAUAGUAUCCUGCCACAUUACCGACCUCGGUUCGAUUCCUAGAUGGUGCA